AACGAACGCUGGCGGCAGGCCUAACACAUGCAAGUCGAGCGAGGACUUCGGUCAUAGCGGCGGACGGGUGAGUAACGCGUGGGAACGUGCCCUUUGCUUCGGAAUAGCCCUGGGAAACUGGGAGUAAUACCGGAUGAGCCCUUUGGGGGAAAGAUUUAUCGGCGAAGGAUCGGCCCGCGUUGGAUUAGGUAGUUGGUGGGGUAAUGGCCUACCAAGCCGACGAUCCAUAGCUGGUUUGAGAGGAUGAUCAGCCACACUGGGACUGAGACACGGCCCAGACUCCUACGGGAGGCAGCAGUGGGGAAUCUUAGACAAUGGGGGAAACCCUGAUCUAGCCAUGCCGCGUGAGCGAUGAAGGCCUUAGGGUUGUAAAGCUCUUUCAGCUGGGAAGAUAAUGACGGUACCAGCAGAAGAAGCCCCGGCUAACUCCGUG
Molecule: ribosomal RNA, 433 nt
Filed under: uncultured bacterium
Lineage: Bacteria
Description: partial 16S ribosomal RNA
Rfam family: Bacterial small subunit ribosomal RNA
Source: RNAcentral